GCGUGUGUUUGUGUUGUGGAGCAGUGUAAAGAAGAUGGCCGGAGCUACGAAAGGCAGAUAUAUCUUGGCACAUUCAUCUUUAAAGAAGUUUUGAUUACUUUCGUGGGAGAAAUGCAAAGAUACUGCCACAAACUCGAGGAUGACGUCAUGAAGUGGACGGCAUCCACGCGCAGCGGCAGGCGGAGCUUCAGGAAUUCAAGCCGUUUUACUUCCGGCAAAAAGCUUCAGGAUCUUCAGCGACUUUCAACAAAAAUCCUUCAGAUGCAGAAUGAACAUAUGGAAAGCAAAUGA
This 291-nucleotide long non-coding RNA is filed under the name Oryzias javanicus (javanese ricefish). RNAcentral's name for it is "lncRNA (ENSOJAG00000021022.1)". Lineage: Eukaryota; Metazoa; Chordata; Actinopteri; Beloniformes; Adrianichthyidae. The record is from RNAcentral.